Molecule: ribosomal RNA, 253 nt
Filed under: uncultured bacterium
Lineage: Bacteria
Description: partial 16S ribosomal RNA
Rfam family: Bacterial small subunit ribosomal RNA
Source: RNAcentral
UACGGGGGGGGCAAGCGUUGUUCGGAAUUACUGGGCGUAAAGGGCUCGUAGGUGGCCAACUAAGUCAGACGUGAAAUCCCUCGGCUUAACCGGGGAACUGCGUCUGAUACUGGAUGGCUUGAGUUUGGGAGAGGGACGCGGAAUUCCAGGUGUAGCGGUGAAAUGCGUAGAUAUCUGGAGGAACACCGGUGGCGAAGGCGGCGUCCUGGACCGCAACUGACGCUGAUGCGCGAAAGCUAGGGGAGCAAACAGG